CAGCAGUGGGGAAUAUUGCUACAAUGGGGGAAACCCUGAUUGCAGCCAUGCCGCGUGUGUGAAGAAGGCCUUCGGGUUGUAAAGUCACUUUCAGUAGGGAGGAAGGUAGUGUAGUUAACACCUGCAUUAUUUGACGUUACCUACAGAAGAAGCACCGGCUAACUCCGUGCCAGCAGCCGCGGUAAUACGGAGGGUGCGAGCGUUAAUCGGAAUUACUGGGCGUAAAGCGCAUGCAGGCGGCCUGUUAAGUCAGAUGUGAAAGCCCGGGGCUUAACCUCGGAAUUGCAUUUGAAACUGGCAGGCUAGAGUCUUGUAGAGGGGGUAGAAGUUUCAGGUGUAGCGGUGAAAUGCGUAGAGAUCUGAAGGAAUACCAGUGGCGAAGGCGGCCCCCCUGGACAAAGACUGACGCUCAGAUGCGAAAGCGUGGGGAGCAAACAGGAUUAGAUACCCUGGUAG
RNAcentral lists this ribosomal RNA (456 nucleotides) under uncultured bacterium. Its description in RNAcentral is "bacterial SSU rRNA". It matches the Rfam family "Bacterial small subunit ribosomal RNA", at positions 349 to 793 of the family's 1533-position model. The record is from RNAcentral.